This 200-nucleotide ribosomal RNA is filed under the name uncultured bacterium. Its description in RNAcentral is "partial 16S ribosomal RNA". It matches the Rfam family "Bacterial small subunit ribosomal RNA", at positions 8 to 235 of the family's 1533-position model. The record is from RNAcentral.
AGAGUUUGAUCCUGGCUCAGAACGAACGCUGGCGGCAUGCCUAACACAUGCAAGUCGAACGCGUGGCUUCGGCCACGAGUGGCGCACGGGUGAGUAGCGCGUGGGAACCUGCCUUUGGUUCGGAAUAACCGCGGGAAACUGCGGCUAAUACCGGAUGCUCCCUACGGGGGAAAGAUUUAUCGCCAAAGGAGGGGCCCGCG